Molecule: long non-coding RNA, 101 nt
Organism: Poecilia latipinna (sailfin molly)
Lineage: Eukaryota; Metazoa; Chordata; Actinopteri; Cyprinodontiformes; Poeciliidae
Exons: 3
Source: RefSeq, a predicted model, not a curated record
GCUCACCGCACACAGCUGCCCAUGUCUCCAAAUCAAUCGAAUAAAAAUACAUAAUCCCGGGCUUAAGGUGAUCUUCAUAAGUUUCAAAGGUCAAAAAUGAU